RNAcentral lists this ribosomal RNA (343 nucleotides) under Acanthamoeba sp. Its description in RNAcentral is "SSU rRNA". It matches the Rfam family "Eukaryotic small subunit ribosomal RNA", at positions 780 to 1087 of the family's 1831-position model. Lineage: Eukaryota; Discosea; Longamoebia; Acanthamoebidae. The record is from RNAcentral.
GCAGAUCCAAUUUUCUGCCACCGAAUACAUUAGCAUGGGAUAAUGGAAUAGGACCCUGUCCUCCUAUUUUCAGUUGGUUUUGGCAGCGCGAGGACUAGGGUAAUGAUUAAUAGGGAUAGUUGGGGGCAUUAAUAUUUAAUUGUCAGAGGUGAAAUUCUUGGAUUUAUGAAAGAUUAACUUCUGCGAAAGCAUCUGCCAAGGAUGUUUUCAUUAAUCAAGAACGAAAGUUAGGGGAUCGAAGACGAUCAGAUACCGUCGUAGUCUUAACCAUAAACGAUGCCGACCAGCGAUUAGGAGACGUUGAAUACAAAACACCACCAUCGGUGCGGUCGUCCUUGGCGUC